Molecule: long non-coding RNA, 347 nt
Organism: Dermochelys coriacea (leatherback sea turtle)
Lineage: Eukaryota; Metazoa; Chordata; Testudines; Dermochelyidae
Exons: 3
Source: RefSeq, a predicted model, not a curated record
CAGGCUUCAGGAGGAAGAUCCUGCAGUGAAGAUAAAGAAGGAUGCAGAGCUACAAAGGAGGUGCCACUUUUACAUUUGGGCUUUUAUUAAUGUCUUUGCAACUGCAGCACUACACAGCUAAGACACUGCAGAUGGAGAGAUCCUUGAACAGAGAACCAUAAUGGAACAUACCUGGAAGAUUGAGCUCAUACAGCAGACCUGAAACAGUUCAAUUUAAAACUAUCAUCUAGCUCCCAACCAUUCUUCACUUUUCCAUCUGGCCUGCAUUUGUAGACAACUAUGAUAUAAAUUAAUGCUAGUAAUUAAAAUAACUUCUAGCCUGUUUCUAGCCUGGGCAUCAAAAUGAU